Molecule: transfer RNA, 72 nt
Filed under: Candidatus Aminicenantota bacterium
Lineage: Bacteria; Candidatus Aminicenantota
Also listed under: 2 other names
Description: Candidatus Aminicenantes bacterium tRNA-Gln
Rfam family: tRNA
About the family: Transfer RNA (tRNA) molecules are approximately 80 nucleotides in length. Their secondary structure includes four short double-helical elements and three loops (D, anti-codon, and T loops).
Source: RNAcentral
UGGGGUGUAGCCAAGCGGUAAGGCAGCGGCCUUUGGAGCCGCCAUUCGGAGGUUCGAAUCCUCCCGCCCCAG